Long non-coding RNA from Mustela lutreola (European mink), 381 nucleotides. RefSeq lists it as uncharacterized. NCBI's taxonomy places the organism in Eukaryota, Metazoa, Chordata, Mammalia, Carnivora, Mustelidae. The transcript is spliced from 2 exons. The record is from RefSeq and is a predicted model, not a curated record.
UUUUCCUUGUUUUAGGGUGGAUCAUGGGAGAAGGAACAUCCAGACGUCUUCCCAGGAUCCUUGGUGCUGGGCAGCUGCAGAAAACAAUGGAAGCAUGAGGAAAAGACCAAAGACACCUAAUUGACAUGUAAGGACUUGUGUCUGCUUCAAGGAAAAUGAACCCAGAUGUACUAACCGUGAAGAUCCCGGCCUUUCUCCUUCUGAAUUACUGCUUUGCAUUGGGUUAACACCUGCAGUGCCCCAUUAUGCCCAUAUGCCAUGACUUCCAGGAGACACUAAAAAGAAUCAUAGAUUGAGUUUAGACUAAAUGCAAGUGAGUGGGCCUCCUACCCUCCUGGGUUUUUUCAUAUAAAAUAAAAUCGUAAAGGAUUCUAAAACGAU